Molecule: ribosomal RNA, 720 nt
Filed under: Triticum aestivum (bread wheat)
Lineage: Eukaryota; Viridiplantae; Streptophyta; Magnoliopsida; Poales; Poaceae
Description: partial small subunit ribosomal RNA
Source: RNAcentral
AUGGAAGAUGAGAGGAAGAGAGCCAAGCUGCGAAAAUCCCUACAGCUCUGCAUCACUAGGAAGCUCAAGAAGAUCCCUCCGGUUCACAUCCCCAGCUCGACAAUUCCGGCAACCAUCGCCAGCAGGAGGCGGCUCCUCUCCACCUGCGGGUUCCCGCGGACACAGUCGCUGGACAUCGACCAGGCCGCCACCGCUACCAACAACAACAACAACAACGGCGGAGGCCACGCCGCGACGCUCUCCGACGUCAACCGCUUCCUCUUCGACAACUUCCGGUCUCUCUACAUACAUGACCGGGACGACAACGUGCGCCUCCCGUUAUCGCCGGGGACGUCAUCCACGUCUGCCGUCGACGAGACGCAGGCAACCGCAGGAACAUCAUCCUUGUCGGAUUCAGUCACGGAAGACACCGGAAAAGCCGGGUCAGGUGAUGACACCGGCGACGAUGCGGCCAUAGUCCUAUUCUCCAUGGACCCUUACACCGACUUCCGGAGGUCCAUGCAGAACAUGAUAAAGAUGCACCACGGCCAGGAAUCUCGGCCGCUGGACUGGGACUUCUUGGAGGAGCUACUCUUUUACUACCUCCAGCUCAAUGAUCAAAGUGUGCACAGGCACAUUCUCAAGGCCUUCGCCGACCUCACUGCUGGAACCCACAAGGAUAUACCAGCCCGUGGAAAACCGAACUGGGCUGAUAAGAGUGUUAGGAGUAGGAAAUAUUAG